AUUGAACGCUGGCGGCAGGCUUAACACAUGCAAGUCGAGCGGUAACAGAGAGAAGCUUGCUUCUCUGCUGACGAGCGGCGGACGGGUGAGUAAUGCCUAGGAAUCUGCCUAGUAGUGGGGGAUAACUUGCCGAAAGGUAAGCUAAUACCGCAUACGUCCUACGGGAGAAAGGAGGGGACCUUCGGGCCUUUCGCUAUUAGCUGAGCCUAGGUCGGAUUAGUUAGUUGGUGAGGUAAUGGCUCACCAAGACCGCGAUCCGUAACUGGUCUGAGAGGAUGAUCAGUCACACUGGAACUGAGACACGGUCCAGACUCCUACGGGAGGCAGCAGUGGGGAAUAUUGGGCAAUGGGGGGAACCCUGAUCCAGCCAUGCCGCGUGUGUGAAGAAGGUCUUAGGAUUGUAAAGCACUUUAAGUUGGGAGGAAGAGCAGUUAACUAAUAUUUGACUGUUUUGACGUUACCGACAGAAUAAGCACCGGCUAACUUCGUGCCAGCAGCCGCAGUAA
RNAcentral lists this ribosomal RNA (506 nucleotides) under uncultured bacterium. Its description in RNAcentral is "partial 16S ribosomal RNA". It matches the Rfam family "Bacterial small subunit ribosomal RNA", at positions 30 to 523 of the family's 1533-position model. The record is from RNAcentral.